GGUCUUUCUGCAAAUUUCUCAAGGGGU
Molecule: non-coding RNA, 27 nt
Filed under: Plasmodium falciparum 3D7
Lineage: Eukaryota; Apicomplexa; Aconoidasida; Haemosporida; Plasmodiidae
Source: RNAcentral